AAAGUCGUAACAAGGUUUCCGUAGGUGAACCUGCGGAAGGAUCAUUAUCGUGCCAAAGGCCGACAUGUCCCUCGGGGCAGUUGGCUUUUGUUACCCUUAUUCUCUGUCUUUGUGCACCAUGUUUGUUUCCUUGGCAGGCUUGCCUGCCAUUGAAAACCCCUCAAACCCUUUGCAGUUGCAAUCAACGUCUGAUAAAUCAAUAGUUACAACUUUUAACAAUGGAUCUCUUGGUUCUG
This 236-nucleotide unclassified non-coding RNA is filed under the name Ascomycota sp. RNAcentral's name for it is "partial contains small subunit ribosomal RNA, internal transcribed spacer 1, and 5.8S ribosomal RNA". The stretch from base 1 to 47 matches the Rfam family "Eukaryotic small subunit ribosomal RNA", at positions 1785 to 1831 of the family's 1831-position model. Lineage: Eukaryota; Fungi; Ascomycota. The record is from RNAcentral.